RNAcentral lists this ribosomal RNA (235 nucleotides) under uncultured bacterium. Its description in RNAcentral is "partial 16S ribosomal RNA". It matches the Rfam family "Bacterial small subunit ribosomal RNA", at positions 118 to 350 of the family's 1533-position model. The record is from RNAcentral.
UGGGCAACCUGCCCCUCUCUCUGGGAUAACCCCGGGGAAACCGGGAGCUAAUACCGGAUACUCCGGCUGGAUCGCAUGGUCCAGCCGGGAAAGGUCCGCCGAAGAGGGAUGGGCCCGCGGCCUAUCAGCUUGUUGGUGGGGUCAUGGCUCACCAAGGCGACGACGGGUAGCUGGUCUGAGAGGACGACCAGCCACACUGGAACUGAGAUACGGUCCAGACUCCUACGGGGAGGCA